AUAUUCCUUUAGGUUGGAUUGGAAGGAUUCUAGCUCUCUUUUGGAGCUUGAGAGAGAUUUUCUACUCCUUAGGUGAGUUUUUGUCCCUUUGCUUGUGGUGGUUAAUGUUUGAGCCUAGAGUUGUUCGUAACGUUUGUUUAUCUCUUCGCUCCUUACCUUUAGGGUACUUAGAGAUUUGUGGACAACUCCGUUCGGCGAAACAAAGGGCUCCGAGACGGUUCGGUGGGUUUGACCUAGCCACACAAUGAGAAAAUCUCAUUUGUGAUGAAUUGAGUAUCGUUAAAUGAAAAAGCAUACAUAAUCAUGUUAGAUAUAUUUAUUAUGAAUUUUAGAAUGCUUAAAAUGCCUAUGUUACAUACAUUUUAUUUUCGGACCUCUAUGAAGUAGAGAACUUGCAUGUGAGACGUAUAUGUGCAUGAGCAUUCUUAUGAGAGACUUGGGUUCAUGUUUA
This 451-nucleotide long non-coding RNA is filed under the name Ananas comosus (pineapple). RNAcentral describes it as "long non-coding RNA (ACOM_LNC044460)". Lineage: Eukaryota; Viridiplantae; Streptophyta; Magnoliopsida; Poales; Bromeliaceae. The record is from RNAcentral.